This 417-nucleotide ribosomal RNA is filed under the name uncultured bacterium. RNAcentral describes it as "bacterial SSU rRNA". It matches the Rfam family "Bacterial small subunit ribosomal RNA", at positions 29 to 489 of the family's 1533-position model. The record is from RNAcentral.
AGCGAACGCUGGCGGCAGGCUUAACACAUGCAAGUCGAACGGGCGUAGCAAUACGUCAGUGGCAGACGGGUGAGUAACGCGUGGGAACGUACCUUUUGGUUCGGAACAACCCAGGGAAACUUGGGCUAAUACCGGAUAAGCCCUUACGGGGAAAGAUUUAUCGCCGAAAGAUCGGCCCGCGUCUGAUUAGCUAGUUGGUGUGGUAACGGCGCACCAAGGCGACGAUCAGUAGCUGGUCUGAGAGGAUGAUCAGCCACAUUGGGACUGAGACACGGCCCAAACUCCUACGGGAGGCAGCAGUGGGGAAUAUUGGACAAUGGGCGCAAGCCUGAUCCAGCCAUGCCGCGUGAGUGAUGAAGGCCCUAGGGUUGUAAAGCUCUUUUGUGCGGGAAGAUAAUGACGGUACCGCAAGAAUAA